CAGCCGUAAACUAUGCUCGCUAGGUGUCAGGCAUGGCGCGACCGUGUCUGGUGCCGCAGGGAAGCCGUGAAGCGAGCCACCUGGGAAGUACGGCCGCAAGGCUGAAACUUAAAGGAAUUGGCGGGGGAGCACCACAACAGGUGGAGCCUGCGGUUUAAUUGGACUCAACGCCGGACAACUCACCGGGGACGACAGCAAUAUGUUGGCCAGGCUGAAGACCUUGCCUGAAUCGCUGAGAGGUGGUGCAUGGCGUAGACGUCU
Molecule: ribosomal RNA, 261 nt
Filed under: uncultured archaeon
Lineage: Archaea
Description: partial 16S ribosomal RNA
Rfam family: Archaeal small subunit ribosomal RNA
Source: RNAcentral